GGAAGUAAAAGUCGUAACAAGGUUUCCGUAGGUGAACCUGCGGAAGGAUCAUUCAUGUUUGCCCCUCUGGGGUUUAAAUAUCAACCACACUGUGAACCGUGGCUUCGGCCCAAACUUGAUGUCUUGAAUGUAUUUACCAUAAACAAUACAACUUUCAACAACGGAUCUCUUGGCUCUCGCAUCGAUGAAGAACGCAGCGAAAUGCGAUAAGUAAUGUGAAUUGCAGAAUUCAGUGAAUCAUCGAAUCUUUGAACGCACCUUGCGCCCUCUGGUAUUCCGGAGGGCAUGCCUGUUUGAGUGUCAUGUAGACUCAAUCCCUCGGGUUUCCGAGGAGAUUGGACUUGGGUGUUGCCGCUCUGCCGGCUCGCCUUAAAAGACUUAGCGGGAUAGCACCGUAGUCGGCGUAAUAAGUUUCGUCGGUGAAGGUUGUGAUGACUGCUUACAAUCGCCCUCGGGCAAUUUUUGACUCUGACCUCAAAUCAGGUAGGACUACCCGCUGAACUUAAGCAUAUCAAUAAGCGGAGGA
This 526-nucleotide ribosomal RNA is filed under the name uncultured fungus. RNAcentral describes it as "eukaryotic LSU rRNA". The stretch from base 150 to 303 matches the Rfam family "5.8S ribosomal RNA". Lineage: Eukaryota; Fungi. The record is from RNAcentral.